RNAcentral lists this ribosomal RNA (487 nucleotides) under Enterobacter hormaechei. RNAcentral's name for it is "partial 23S ribosomal RNA". Lineage: Bacteria; Pseudomonadati; Pseudomonadota; Gammaproteobacteria; Enterobacterales; Enterobacteriaceae. The record is from RNAcentral.
AUCGCUCAACGGAUAAAAGGUACUCCGGGGAUAACAGGCUGAUACCGCCCAAGAGUUCAUAUCGACGGCGGUGUUUGGCACCUCGAUGUCGGCUCAUCACAUCCUGGGGCUGAAGUAGGUCCCAAGGGUAUGGCUGUUCGCCAUUUAAAGUGGUACGCGAGCUGGGUUUAGAACGUCGUGAGACAGUUCGGUCCCUAUCUGCCGUGGGCGCUGGAGAAUUGAGGGGGGCUGCUCCUAGUACGAGAGGACCGGAGUGGACGCAUCACUGGUGUUCGGGUUGUCAUGCCAAUGGCAYUGCCCGGUAGCUAAAUGCGGAAGAGAUAAGUGCUGAAAGCAUCUAAGCACGAAACUUGCCCCGAGAUGAGUUCUCCCUGAGACCUUGAGUCUCCUGAAGGAACGUUAAAGACGAUGACGUUGAUAGGUCGGGUGUGUAAGCGCAGCGAUGCGUUGAGCUAACCGAUACUAAUGAACCGUGAGGCUUAACCUU